RNAcentral lists this long non-coding RNA (943 nucleotides) under Phascolarctos cinereus (koala). RNAcentral describes it as "lncRNA (ENSPCIG00000023509.2)". The record is from RNAcentral. Lineage: Eukaryota; Metazoa; Chordata; Mammalia; Diprotodontia; Phascolarctidae.
CUUCACUGGCUCUGGCCGCAGACCAGGUUUAGGCUCUGCCCCCCACGCUUGGAGCGCAAGAAAUGAAACUAAGCUUGUUUUCAGGAAACUGAAACAGAAGCGGCCAGGUUUUUUUUUUAAGAAUUCUUCUUGCUUCAUUUGAAUACUCCUGCUGACCUCCCAAACCUCCCCAGGCAGGGACUGGGCACUCCCAAUUCCCUCCACAUCUAGUAAGUGCUUAUUGGGGAGGGCUCCAACUGCCUGGGGAGGAAACAGCAAAGUGGGACAGGACCAAAUGCUUUGAUUCUACCUCCUCCCCUGUGACCCCAAACAACUAGCCUUAACCAAUAAGCAGACUGGCAAAUCUCAAAAACAAACUUGGGCGGAGCCCAGGACCGGGGAUUUUUCUCUCGGCUUUACAGGGAAAGGACCCUUGAUUGAGCGGACUCAGAGACCAUUUGAGAAAUCAGCACAUGUAUCUCUGGAUGGAGACACAGCGGAAAAAGCUCCUAGCCGUCUCGGCUUUUCUGUUAGCCGUGAUCCUCAUACUGGCACCCCUCCUGGGGGUUUACUUAUACAGAGCCAACUCAGAAGCCUGUCAGCAGGGCUUGGUGCUACGGCAGGAAAGCCAGCAACUGAAGGAGAAGUUGAGGCAGAGCCAGGAAAGCUUCUUGGAGGUGGAGGCCCAAUGGCGGAGCUGCAGCAAUGUUUCGAGAGACCUGAACAAUAACUUGGAGGAGAUGGCAUCCCAGAGAGAUUCGCUGCUCAGUCAGCUACAGAAGCUGAAGGAAGAGAACCAGAAUUUUGCUGAGAAACUUAGGAAUGCUGAGGCAGCCCUGCAGAUGGAGAGAGAAAAAAAGAACCCAGAAGAGACAAGUACAGCACUGCCUGGCCCUCAGAUCUACUCUUUACUUCUGAGUCUAGGACUGGCCAUUACCUUGAUUCCCUGAGCAUUCUGAGCAAG